This 523-nucleotide ribosomal RNA is filed under the name uncultured bacterium. RNAcentral's name for it is "bacterial SSU rRNA". It matches the Rfam family "Bacterial small subunit ribosomal RNA", at positions 338 to 843 of the family's 1533-position model. The record is from RNAcentral.
CCUACGGGAGGCAGCAGUGGGGAAUUUUGGACAAUGGGCGCAAGCCUGAUCCAGCCAUGCCGCGUGCAGGAUGAAGGCCUUCGGGUUGUAAACUGCUUUUGUACGGAACGAAAAGGUCUGCCCUAAUACGGUGGGCCCAUGACGGUACCGUAAGAAUAAGCACCGGCUAACUACGUGCCAGCAGCCGCGGUAAUACGUAGGGUGCAAGCGUUAAUCGGAAUUACUGGGCGUAAAGCGUGCGCAGGCGGUAAUGUAAGACAGAUGUGAAAUCCCCGGGCUCAACCUGGGAACUGCAUUUGUGACUGCAUUGCUGGAGUGCGGCAGAGGGGGAUGGAAUUCCGCGUGUAGCAGUGAAAUGCGUAGAUAUGCGGAGGAACACCGAUGGCGAAGGCAAUCCCCUGGGCCUGCACUGACGCUCAUGCACGAAGACGGUGGGGAGGACGAACAGGAGUAGAUACCGUACGGUAGUACCGACCGACCCGUAACCGACUGUCACUGGUUGGUUGGGUUCGUUCUAUUGUAC